UACAGAGGUCCCAAGCGUUGUUCGGAUUCACUGGGCGUAAAGGGUGCGCAGGUGGGUUUGCAAGUUUGAUGUGAAAGCCCCGGGCUUAACCCGGGAAUGGCAUUGAAUACUGCAGAUCUGGAGGAUUGGAGGGGGACUGGAAUUCUUGGUGUAGCAGUGAAAUGCGUAGAUAUCAAGAGGAACACCAGUGGCGAAGGCGAGUCCCUGGACAAUACCUGACACUGAGGCACGAAAGCAUGGGGAGCAAAAGG
This 251-nucleotide ribosomal RNA is filed under the name uncultured bacterium. Its description in RNAcentral is "partial 16S ribosomal RNA". It matches the Rfam family "Bacterial small subunit ribosomal RNA", at positions 524 to 775 of the family's 1533-position model. The record is from RNAcentral.